AUUGCCUUUAGUAACGGGCGAGUGAAGCGGCAACAGCUCAAAUUUGAAAGCUGGCCCUUUUAGGGUCCGCGUUGUAAUUUGUAGAGGAUGAUUCGGCGAGGGCUCCUGCCUAAGUCCCCUGGAACGGGGCGUCAUAGAGGGUGAGAAUCCCGUAUGCGGUAGGUUGCCUUAGCCAUGUGAAUCUCCUUCGACGAGUCGAGUUGUUUGGGAAUGCAGCUCUAAAUGGGAGGUAAAUUUCUUCUAAAGCUAAAUACUGGCCAGAGACCGAUAGCGCACAAGUAGAGUGAUCGAAAGAUGAAAAGCACUUUGGAAAGAGAGUUAAAAAGUACGUGAAAUUGUUGAAAGGGAAGCGCUUGCAACCAGACUUGUCCGCAGUUGCUCAGCCGGUCUCCUGACCGGCGUACUCUUCUGCGGCCAGGCCAGCAUCAGUUCGGGCGGUCGGAUAAAGGCCUCGGGAAUGUAGCUCCUCUCGGGGAGUGUUAUAGCCCGGGGUGGAAUGCGACCAGCCUGGACUGAGGAUCUCGCUUCGGCAAGGAUGCUGGCGUAAUGGUUGUAAGCGGCCCGUCUUGAAACACGGACCAAGGAGUCUAACAUCUAUGCGAGUGUUCGGGUGUCAAACCCGUACGCGUAAUGAAAGUGAACGGAGGUGGGAACCCGCAAGGGUGCACCAUCGGCCGAUCCUGAUGUCUUCUGAUGGAUUUGAGCAAGAGCAUAGCUGUUGCGACCCGAAAGAUGGUGAACUAUGCCUGAAUAUGAUGAAGCCAGAGGAAACUCUGUUGGAGGCUCUCAGCGGUUCUGACAUGCAAAUCAAUCGUCAAAUUUGGGUAUAUGGCCGAAAGACUAAUCUACCAUCUAGUAGCUGGUUCCUGCCGAAGUUUCCCUCACGAUAGCAGUAACGUAUUCAUUUUUAUGAGAUAAAACAAAUGAUUAGAAGACCUGCGGCUGAAACAGCCUUAACCUAUUCUCAAACUUUAAUAUUUAAAAAGUCUUUGUGCUUAGUUGAACUUGACCUUGGAAUGUACGGUACCAAUGAACCAUUUUGGUUAUUGGGACUGCCAACCGGGAUGAACGA
RNAcentral lists this ribosomal RNA (1072 nucleotides) under Lasiodiplodia sp. RNAcentral's name for it is "partial large subunit ribosomal RNA". It matches the Rfam family "Eukaryotic large subunit ribosomal RNA", at positions 73 to 1171 of the family's 3401-position model. The record is from RNAcentral. Lineage: Eukaryota; Fungi; Ascomycota; Dothideomycetes; Botryosphaeriales; Botryosphaeriaceae.